UACGUAGGGUGCGAGCGUUGUCCGGAAUUACUGGGCGUAAAGAGCUCGUAGGUGGUUUGUCGCGUUGUUCGUGAAAUCUCACGGCUUAACUGUGAGCGUGCGGGCGAUACGGGCAGACUAGAGUACUGCAGGGGAGACUGGAAUUCCUGGUGUAGCGGUGGAAUGCGCAGAUAUCAGGAGGAACACCGGUGGCGAAGGCGGGUCACUGGGCAGUAACUGACGCUGAGGAGCGAAAGCGUGGGGAGCGAACAGG
This 253-nucleotide ribosomal RNA is filed under the name uncultured bacterium. Its description in RNAcentral is "partial 16S ribosomal RNA". It matches the Rfam family "Bacterial small subunit ribosomal RNA", at positions 524 to 776 of the family's 1533-position model. The record is from RNAcentral.